UUCCCAACUUAUUUUAUUCUUUUUUUUUUCCCAAACUCCAAAUCAAAAUCAUCGUUUCUUUUUUCUCUUCUCUCUUUUGACGAAAUGGCAAAUUGAUUUCAUUUUUCUGCCAACCGAUCUUCCUGCGAUUAAAUCGCAAAUCGAUUCCGCUGGUGGUGAUACCUCCAUAAUUUGGUCUCUCGACACGAUUCUGCUGCUGCUGGUCUCGUUUUUUCAAAUUUUGUCACUGGAUCUGCUGCACGAUUGAUUUUCUGGUUUGAUUUACCUAAUAAUAAUACAUAUAAGUAAUUAUAUGUAUAAAGAUUCUUUUUGUUUCCUUGUUCUGAUUUUUAGGAUUUUUUUUGCUGGAUUGGCUAGGUCUUUAUUCUCUGGUUUGAUUUGUUAUUUUCUAUCGAUUUUCAUGGCAUCUACUGAUCUAAUGAAAAUUGCCACGAUUUUCACUGUUAAAACCGUGAAAUUAACAAAAACAAAUUACAAUAUUUGGAGGCCCCAAAUUUUUAGGAUUUUAAAAGGAAGCAAAAUCUUAGGAUUUGUGGAUGGAUUCAUAGUUUUUCCAGAUGCUAUGCCAAAUACUGAAGGGGUUUUACCAAAGAAUCUGCAAGGUUUAACAUAUGCAGAGUGUGAAGAGCAAGAUAAUUUGCUCAUGAGAUGGCUAAUGACUGCAAUAACUGAAGAGGUUCUUCCCAAAGUAUGUAAGUGCACUUCUGCCAAACAAAUUUGGGACACAUUAGCCAAGGUAUUUGCGUCUAAUUCACAGAUGAAGACAUUGCAAUUACGUCUGAAUUUGCAGACAACAAAGAAAGGCAACAAAUCUAUGGAAGAUUAUAUUACCAAUAUGAUAGAUAUUGCGAAUGCUUUAGCCCUUGCUGGUGAUAAGGUUUCUGACAAAGAUCUGGCCCUGUUUGUUCUUGGUGGACUUGGAUCUGAUUAUGAUCCUUUGGUGACAGCAAUUAUCACAAGACCAAGCAAUGAAGCAUUUUCCAUAGAUGGCAUACAAGGCAUUCUUCUAAAUCACGAGAUAAGACUAGCAUCGAAUAUGACACAUUUUGUGAAAAACUCAUUCUCAGUAAAUUAUACCAAUAGACAGAGGUAUAAUUAGAAUCAAAACUCAUAUGCUAAUAAUAAUAAAAAUCAAAAUUUUAGCUUGCCAAAACAAUCCUCAAAGGUGACUCCCUACUCUUAUAUGAUAUGUCAAAUCUGUGAGAAGAGAGGCCACAUUGCCUCUAGUUUCUAUAACAGGUUCAAUAAGUCUUUCAACAUAGGUCAUAAUAAGCAAGCACAUAUAGUAUUUGAGGAAGAGGAUGUGGGGAGUGAUACAACUAUGUGGUUUCCUGACUCUGGAGCUUCAACCCACAUUACUUCUGAUUUUGAGAAUCUGAGUUUUGCAGCUCCAUAUGAAGGAGGUGACAAGGUCACCAUUGCCAAUGGUACUGGUAUGGAUAUUCUUCACAUCGGAACUUCUCACUUUAAUUGUAAUAAUAAGAAAUUAUUUUUAAAGGAUCUCUUACAUAUUCCUGCUACAUCAAAGAACUUAAUUUCUGUUCAAAAUUUUUGUCAAGAUAAUAAUGUUAUCUUUGAAUUUGAUGAAUCUAAGGUGGUGGUGAAAGAUAAAAGCACAAAUGAAGUCUUGAUUAAAGGAGAUGCUAGGGAUGGGCUAUACUCCUUUUCUACUCACAGUGCAGGUUCAUCCAUCUCACAUCAUGCUUUUCUUUGUGAAAAUGCCUCAUUAAAUAAAUGGUAUCUUAGAUUUGGGCAUAUUAAUGAAAACAUAACUAGGAAAAUUUGUAAUAAAUAUGACUUGCCUAUUUUAAACAACAAAUUUGAUAAAUGUAUUUCUUGCUCAAUUAGUAAAUGCUAUAAACUUCCUUUUUAUCUUCUGAUUAUUCUGUUAAUCGGCCCCUAGAAUUGGUUUUUAGUGAUGUUUGGGGACCAUCUCCCCACACUUCACCACAAGGCUUUAGAUAUUAUGUUAACUUUAUUGAUGUAUUCAGCAAAUACACUUGGAUCUUUCCGAUUCAGUGUAAAUCAGAGGUAUUUUCAAAAUUUCGAGAGUUUAAAACCAAUAUUGAAAAUCAGUUAGAUUUGAAAAUAAAAGCAAUACAAACGGAUAAUGGUGGGGAAUAUAAAAAUAACUUUUUAAAAUCAUAUUUAAUUAAAUAUGGAAUUACUCAUAGGUUUUCUUGCCCCCACACACAUGAACAAGUAGGAGUUAGUGAAAGGAAACAUAGACACAUUGUGGACAUGGGUCUAGGUUUACUAGAAAAAUCUACUCUACCUUUGAAUCUAUGGCCUUAUGCCUUUAUAAGUGUUGUAUAUUUAAUCAAUCAUUUACCAACUAAUAAUUCUCCUGAGUCACCUCAGGAGACCUUAUUCAACAAAAGUCCAGAUUAUAAAUUUUUCAAUGUUUUUGGUUGUACAUGUUUCCCCAAUCUAAGACCAUACAGAUUACAUAAUUUUUUUUUUCGAUCUGAAAAAUGUGUAUUUCUUGGAUAUUCCCUGAAUAACAAAGGAUAUCUUUGUUAUAAUCCUUUAAAUGGGAAAAUAAUAAUAUCUAUAGAUGUGAUCUUCCAUGAGGAUGAUUUCUCAACUGCAAUGAUGAUUAGUAAAAAUCAAGUGCAUGAGAAAUUUGAAUUUACAGAUGUUAUUAAUAAGCUUGUUGUCAUUAGACCAGGAAUAGUUCAUGAUCAGAUAAAUCAAGAAGAGAAUAGAGGAAGUUUAAGUAAUGGUCAGGAAGAGAAAGCAUCAUCAAACAAUUGAAAACUCUGGUAUAUCUGUUCCUUCUUCGAAUACUAUAUCAUCUACAAAUGAAUCUAUUUCUGAUUUUGCAACUAAUGAUAUUAGAAAUAUUGAGUCUAGAAUAGUAACUAGAAGUAUGAAUGACAUUUAUAAACCAAAUCCAAAAUAUACUCUUUCGGUGUCAUUAAGUGAAAAAACACCUAGUUGUUUCACACAAGCCAAAGCAAACCCAAAAUGGGUAACUGCAAUGACUGAAAAUAUAAUGCUCUGUUGAAUGCCUCAACAUGGGAGCUAGUUAAGCAAAAACCUAAUAUGAACAUUAUAGGAUGUAAAUGGGUUUUCAAAAUAAAGCAAAAAUCAGAUGGGACUAUUGAUAGGUACAAGGCCAGAUUAGUGGCCAAAGGAUACAAUCAGAGGAAAGGAAUAGAUUAUGAAGAGACCUUUUCUCCUGUUGUGAAACCACUAACAAUUAUAAUAAUUUUCUCAAUAGCUGUAUCUAACAACUGGAUAAUAAAGCAAUUAGACAUAUCCAAUGCUUUUCUAAACGGGAACUUAAAAGAACUAGUGUAUAUGACACAAUCACCUGGUUUUGUCAAUCCAGAACAAAAAGAUCAUGUUUGUCUCCUAAAGAAGUCCCUUUAUGGUCUGAAACAAGCCCCUAGGGCUUGGUUCGAAAGACCGAGGUAUUUUCUGAUUGAACUAGGUUUCACCGACAAUAUCUCAGAUCUAUCAUUAUUCACUAAAGUCACACCUAAGGGUAAAAUGUUCUUUCUCAUAUAUAUGAAUGAUAUAAUCCUUACUGGUUGUAAUCCUAUUGAGGUAGAAGAAAUGGUGGGUUCUCUAAAUAACGAGUUUAAGCUUAAAAACAUGGGUAGACCUUCAUAUUUUUUAGGAGUAGAGGUCAUAUAUAAUAGAUCUGGAGUUCACCUAAACCAGACUAAGUAUAUGAAAGAGUGCUUACUGAUCAAGUUUGGGUUUGAAACAAUCAAACCUUCUAAAACGCCAAUCUCUAAAAAUAGCUUGAUUUAUACAGAACCAGGUGAGCAACUUUCUGAUCCCAAAAUAUAUAGAAGUGUUGUAGGUAGUCUUAAAUAUCUAGCCAUAACAAGACCCGACAUUGCCUUUGCUGUAAACAAAGUUUGUCAGUUCAUAUCUAGUCCUUGUGAAACUAAUUGGAUUGAGGUAAAGAAAAUAUUUAGAUACCUGUCAGGAACUUUAAAUCACGGACUUGCUAUUAGAGCAAUCAAGAACUCUAAUAUUCAGGUUUUUUCUGACAGUGACUGGGCAGGAGAUAAACUAGAUUGUAAAAGUCAAGGAGGUUUCUUAGUCUUUCUAGGAGCAAAUCUAAUCUCUUGGAACUCAAAGAAACAACCAACAGUAUCCAAAUCCAGCUGUGAGACUGAAUUUAGGAGUCUAACCAUAGCAACUCAGGAAUUAAUCUGGGUACAACAACUACUAAAAGAGCUUGGUUUUGAAACAACCAUUCCCACACUAUGGUGUGAUAACAUGGAAGCAUUACAUCUUUCUGCAAAUCCUCUAUAUCACGCAAGAACAAAACAUAUAGGAGUAGAUUUUAAUUUUGUUAGAGAAAGAGUUAGAGACAAACAAUUAUUGGUUAAAUACAUUCCAACAACAGAACAAUUAACAGAUAUCCUGACCAAACCUUGGGGAACUUCAAUUUUUUCAAAAUUUAAAGAUAAAUUGGUCAUUGGAGUACAACAUAAGAUGGUCCGAUCCUCUAUUAAUCAAUAAAUAAAUUCAUCUUAACUUCCCUUACUUAUUACGUGAAAUACUUCAAUUGUAUGGUGUAUGAAAUGUUUAGAUAUAUGCAGGUUGUAUGAAAUACUCUAUUUUAAAUGAUGUGGUGGUUGUAGGUGUUUUUUCUAUGAUUUUGUCUGCAGAAAAUUUAUAUGUUGCAGAUCAUUGGAAUACCUUUGAAUUAAGUCUGGAUUUUCAGAAAUCAUAUACUCAAAUUUAAGUCCAUUCUACAAUCAUAUAUUUCUACAAUAUAUUUUUUGAACUAAAUACUAGUAAUCCAUGUGCAUGGUUUGUUUGUUUGUUUUUGCAUAUCACUAUCUUAUAGGAUACAAUCUCUCAAUGGAUUACUAUCAUUUCCUUUUCUCUUGGUUUUGUUUUUUGAGGAGAAUAUUUGUGUAUUUGUUAUGAUGGGUAGGUUUUUCCCGGAGAAAGAUGGGAAAGACCACACACAUUCAAAAGAUGCCAAAAGAGCACACCCGGAUUUUUUCAUCUACCCAUCAUCCUAUUUACUCUGAGUUAGAAGGAGUUAAACUUCUCUGCUAUAUUCACAACAAGAUGGGAGUAACAAGAUGAUUCUUGGUGACUACUUUAUAAGUUCGAGAAUUGUACACAAAUCAAGAUUCUGCACUCAAAGAUUUAGUUUCAGAAUGCUAGAUUUGAGGGGGAAUAUUAGAUAAAUAAUAUAUAUAAGUAAUUAUAUGUUAUUAUAUGGAUAUAUUGUAAAACUAACCAAACUAAUAGAUAUGUUAAGAUAGAAUAAAUAUGGUUAAGAUAGAAUAAAUAUAAAUAUGUUAAGUAUUGUAUAAUUGAAAAUGGUUGAACUAAAGUUUGAAUGAAUGAUCACAUUUGUUUUGAUAGUCUAAUAUGAAGAACUCAGU
Molecule: long non-coding RNA, 5372 nt
Filed under: Zostera marina
Lineage: Eukaryota; Viridiplantae; Streptophyta; Magnoliopsida; Alismatales; Zosteraceae
Description: long non-coding RNA (ZMAR_LNC001950)
Source: RNAcentral